GACGAACGCUGGCGGCGUGCUUAACACAUGCAAGUCGAGCGGUAAGGCCCUUUCGGGGGUACACGAGCGGCGAACGGGUGAGUAACACGUGGGUGACCUGCCCUCAGCUCUGGGAUAAGCCUGGGAAACCGGGUCUAAUACUGGAUAUGACUCCAUGACGCAUGUUGGUGGGGUGGAAAGCCUUGUGCGGCUGAGGAUGGGCCCGCGGCCUAUCAGCUUGUUGGUGGGGUGANGGCCUACCAAGGCGACGACGGGUAGCCGGCCUGAGAGGGCGACCGGCCACACUGGGACUGAGACACGGCCCAGACUCCUACGGGAGGCAGCAGGUGGGGAAUCUUGCGCAAUGGGCGAAAGCCUGACGCAGCGACGCCGCGUGAGGGAUGACGGCCU
Molecule: ribosomal RNA, 390 nt
Filed under: uncultured bacterium
Lineage: Bacteria
Description: bacterial SSU rRNA
Rfam family: Bacterial small subunit ribosomal RNA
Source: RNAcentral